This 1676-nucleotide ribosomal RNA is filed under the name Triticum aestivum (bread wheat). RNAcentral's name for it is "partial small subunit ribosomal RNA". The record is from RNAcentral. Lineage: Eukaryota; Viridiplantae; Streptophyta; Magnoliopsida; Poales; Poaceae.
GCUCCUUCGCUUUCCCAAGCCUUUCCAAGAGAAGCUCACUGCCAUCCGCACUAUCUCAUACACUCGUCGCUGCGUUGCUCGCCGGCUCAAAUGGCUCUUCAGGCGGCCACUUCCUUCCUCCCGUCGGCCCUCUCCGCGCGCAAGGAGGGAGCGGCCAAGGACUCUGCCUUCUUCCGCGUUUGUCUCGCCGAUGGCCUCAAAUUCGACACCACCUCCCUCGGCCUGCGCACCAAGACUGUGGAACGUGCUCUGUUAGUCGCCGCUCGUUCUGACCGACAUGCGUGUCACGAACCUACACAGAGGGUGAACACGUCGUCGGUGGCCAUCCGCGCGCAGGCCGCGGCGGUGUCCGCGCCGACCGCGACCCCGGCGUCGCCGUCCGGCAAGAAGACCGUCCGCACGGGCAACGCGAUCAUCACGGGCGCGUCGUCGGGCCUCGGCCUCGCCACGGCCAAGGCCCUGGCGGAGUCAGGCAAGUGGCACGUCAUCAUGGCGUGCCGCGACUACCUCAAGACCGCGCGCGCGGCCAGGGCGGCCGGCAUGCCCAAGGGCAGCUACACCAUCGUGCACCUGGACCUGGCCUCCCUCGACAGCGUCCGCCAGUUCGUCAAGAACGUGCGCCAGCUCGACAUGCCCAUCGACGUCGUUGUCUGCAACGCCGCCGUGUACCAGCCCACCGCCAAGGAGCCUUCCUUCACCGCGGACGGCUUCGAGAUGAGCGUCGGCGUCAACCACCUCGGCCACUUCCUCCUCGCCCGCGAGCUCCUCGAGGACCUCAAGGCCUCCGACUACCCCUCCAAGCGCCUCAUCAUCGUCGGCUCCAUCACCGGGAACACGAACACGCUUGCCGGGAACGUGCCGCCGAAGGCGAACCUGGGGGACCUGAGGGGCCUGGCGGCCGGGCUGAACGGCGUGGGCAGUGCUGCCAUGAUUGACGGCGCGGAGUUCGACGGCGCCAAGGCGUACAAGGACAGCAAGGUGUGCAACAUGCUGACCAUGCAGGAAUUCCACCGGCGGUACCACGAGGAGACCGGCGUGACCUUCGCGUCGCUCUACCCGGGGUGCAUCGCCACCACGGGGCUCUUCCGUGAGCACAUCCCGCUGUUCCGCCUCCUCUUCCCGCCUUUCCAGAAGUACAUCACCAAGGGAUACGUGUCUGAGGAGGAGGCCGGCAAGAGGUUGGCGCAGGUCGUCAGCGAGCCCAGCCUCACCAAGUCCGGCGUCUACUGGAGCUGGAACAAGAACUCGGCGUCCUUCGAGAACCAGCUCUCCGAGGAGGCCAGCGACACUGAGAAGGCCAGGAAGGUAUGGGAGCUCAGCGAGAAGCUCGUCGGACUCGCAUGAUCACCAAAUGGCCGGCCCUCCGGCGAGGUCGCAAACCCCGAUCGAUCGUCAUCCGCACCAAGUGGCGAUAUUUUGUGCUUCUUUUCUCAAGCCAAAAAAAGGAAAAAUAAUUGUAGGACACGUUUCGCACAAACUGCUAGAUUAAGUACGCGGCGCGCCCGAUUAAGUCCGAAGUGGUUACAGUUCGCAAGGAGUUUAAGCCUGUAAAACUAGUUCUUUUUGCUUUGAUUUUUGGUAAUAGUGACAAUAAAGUGUCUUGGGCGGCCAAAUAGUGGAAGUACAGUUCGACUUUUUUAGUUUCAUCCGGUAACUUCACCCAGUGAAUUUUCUUU